This is a small nuclear RNA of Molossus molossus (Pallas's mastiff bat), 104 nucleotides long. The record is from RefSeq and is a predicted model, not a curated record. Lineage: Eukaryota; Metazoa; Chordata; Mammalia; Chiroptera; Molossidae.
GUGUUCUCUUGGGGAGCACAUAUACUAAAGUUGGAAUGAUGAAGAGAAUAUCAUGGCUCCCACACAAGGAUGCCACACAAAUUUGUGAAGCAUUCCAUAUAUAA